Molecule: ribosomal RNA, 253 nt
Filed under: uncultured bacterium
Lineage: Bacteria
Description: partial 16S ribosomal RNA
Rfam family: Bacterial small subunit ribosomal RNA
Source: RNAcentral
UACGAAGGGGGCUAGCGUUGCUCGGAAUUACUGGGCGUAAAGGGCGCGUAGGCGGGUCGUUAAGUUAGAGGUGAAAGCCCAGGGCUCAACCCUGGAAUUGCCUUUGAUACUGGCGACCUUGAGUAUGGCAGAGGUGCGUGGAACUCCGAGUGUAGAGGUGCAAUUCGUAGAUAUUCGGAAGAACACCAGUGGCGAAGGCGACACACUGGGCCAUUACUGACGCUGAGGCACGAAAGCUAGGGGAGCAAACAGG